GUUAGUCGGGUGCUAAGACGAGGCCGUAAGGAAUAGUCGAUGCCAAGCUGGUUCAAUAUUCUAGCACCACUUUACUUGCGUUCGACCCAUGGAGUGACGGAGAAAGUUAAGACAGCAACGUGUUGAAUCGUUGUCCAAGUUCGUAGGCUGUUCGGGGAUAAAAUACCGAAUAAAGCUGAAAAACGACGGGACCUUGAAGCUACGGCUGAUGGGGAUUGUCUGAUACUCGGCUUCCAAGAAAAACUUCGUGGUUAGCAAGUAGGGUGCCCGUACCGUAAACCGACACAGGUGGGAAAGAUGAGUAUUCUAAGGCGCGCAGGUUAAAUCUCUCUAAGGAACUCGGCAAAUUAGCCCCGUAUCUUCGGUAGAAGGGGUACCGCGCAAGCGGUCGCAGUUAAUUGCGUCAACCGACUGUUUAGCAAAAACACAGCACUCUGCUAAGUCGCAAGACGACGUAUAGGGUGUGACACGUGACCAAUGCGGAAAGGUGAAAGCGUGAGGUGCAAGCUUCGCGUCUAAGCCCCCGUGAAUGUCGGCCGUAACUAUAACGGUCCUAAGGUAGCGAAAUUCCUUGUCGGGUAAGUUCCGACCCGCACGAAUCGUGUAACGAGUUGACGACUGUCUCGGAGAGAUGCCUGGUGAAAUUGUAGUGGCGGUGAAGAUGCCGCCUACCCGCAGCAGGACGGAAAGACCCUAUGCACCUUUACUGUAAGCUGUUAUUGUCGCUUGAUUUUUAAUACGUAGAAUAGGUGGGAGACUUUGAAGCUUGGUUCCAGGAUCAGGCUGAGUCACAACGUGAAAUACCACUUUUUAAUUGUUAGGCGUCUAACCACACACCAUCAACUGGUUGUGGGACAUUGAUAGCAGGUCAGUUUUUCUGGGGCGGAAUCCUCCCAAAGAGUAACGGAGGAUUACGAAGGUUCCCUCGGCCCGGUCGGUAAUCGGGCUAUAGAGCGCAUGAGUAUAAGGGAGCUUUACUGUGAGACCUACAAGUCGAGCAGUUGCGAAAGCAGGUUCAAGUGACCCGGUGGUUGAAUGUGGAAUCGCCAUCGCUCAUAGGACAAAAGGUACGCUAGGGAUAACAGGCUGAUCGCGCCCAAGCGUUCACAGCGACGGCGCGGUUUGGCACCUCGAUGUCGACUCAUCACAUCCUGGGGCUGGAGAAGGUCCCAAGGGUUCGGCUGUUCGCCGAUUAAAGUGGUACGCGAGUUGGGUUCAGAACGUCGUGAGACAGUUCGGUCCUCUAUCCGCUGUGGGCGUUUGUGAUUUGAGGGGUUCAUUCUCUAGUACGAGAGGACCGAGAAUGACGAACCUCUGGUGUUCCGGUUGUCACGUCAGUGGCAGCGCCGGGUAGCUAUGUUCGGAAGGGAUAAGCGCUGAAAGCAUCUAAGCGCCAAGCCCAUCCCAAGAUAAGAUCACAAUCCACCGCAAGGUGGUGCAAGGUCCGGGUAGACCACCCGGUUGAUAGGACAGAAAUGUAAGCACCGUAAGGUGUUCAGUUUACUGUUACUAAUGACCUU
RNAcentral lists this ribosomal RNA (1520 nucleotides) under metagenome. RNAcentral's name for it is "bacterial LSU rRNA". It matches the Rfam family "Bacterial large subunit ribosomal RNA", at positions 1379 to 2911 of the family's 2925-position model. The record is from RNAcentral.